AGCGGAUGACAGGGCUUGCUCCUGAAUUCAGCGGCGGACGGGUGAGUAAUGCCUAGGAAUCUGCCUGGUAGUGGGGGACAACGUUUCGAAAGGAACGCUAAUACCGCAUACGUCCUACGGGAGAAAGCAGGGGACCUUCGGGCCUUGCGCUAUCAGAUGAGCCUAGGUCGGAUUAGCUAGUUGGUGAGGUAAUGGCUCACCAAGGCGACGAUCCGUAACUGGUCUGAGAGGAUGAUCAGUCACACUGGAACUGAGACACGGUCCAGACUCCUACGGGAGGCAGCAGUGGGGAAUAUUGGACAAUGGGCGAAAGCCUGAUCCAGCCAUGCCGCGUGUGUGAAGAAGGUCUUCGGAUUGUAAAGCACUUUAAGUUGGGAGGAAGGGCAUUAACCUAAUACGUUGGUGUUUUGACGUUACCGACAGAAUAAGCACCGGCUAACUCUGUGCCAGCAGCCGCGGUAAU
This 463-nucleotide ribosomal RNA is filed under the name uncultured bacterium. RNAcentral describes it as "bacterial SSU rRNA". It matches the Rfam family "Bacterial small subunit ribosomal RNA", at positions 65 to 524 of the family's 1533-position model. The record is from RNAcentral.